GGGUUGUGAGGUUAAGCGACUAAGCGUACACGGUGGAUGCCCUGGCAGUCAGAGGCGAUGAAGGGCGUGCUAAUCUGCGAUAAGCGCCGGUAAGGUGAUAUGAACCGUUAUAACCGGCGAUACCCGAAUGGGGAAACCCAGUGUGAUUCGUCACACUAUCAUUAACUGAAUCCAUAGGUUAAUGAGGCGAACCGGGGGAACUGAAACAUCUAAGUACCCCGAGGAAAAGAAAUCAACCGAGAUUCCCCCAGUAGCGGCGAGCGAACGGGGAGGAGCCCAGAGCCUGAAUCAGCAUGUGUGUUAGUGGAAGCGUCUGGAAAGGCGCGCGAUACAGGGUGACAGCCCCGUACACAAAAGCGCAUGUGCUGUGAGCUCGAUGAGUAGGGCGGGACACGUGGUAUCCUGUCUGAAUAUGGGGGGACCAUCCUCCAAGGCUAAAUACUCCUGACUGACCGAUAGUGAACCAGUACCGUGAGGGAAAGGCGAAAAGAACCCCGGCGAGGGGAGUGAAAAAGAACCUGAAACCGUGUACGUACAAGCAGUGGGAGCCCCACCACCAAAGCAUUCUCUGGUGUUGAAGGCCCUGCAAAGCAGCAUCGCGGUGGCGGAGCGUCGUUUGCGACGCCCAACACACAAAACAAGCGGUGAAUGCUUUGGGGUGGGGUGACUGCGUACCUUUUGUAUAAUGGGUCAGCGACUUAUAUUCUGUAGCAAGGUUAACCGAAUAGGGGAGCCGGAGGGAAACCGAGUCUUAAUUGGGCGUUAAGUUGCAGGGUAUAGACCCGAAACCCGGUGAUCUAGCCAUGGGCAGGUUGAAGGUUGGGUAACACUAACUGGAGGACCGAACCGACUAAUGUUGAAAAAUUAGCGGAUGACCUGUGGCUGGGGGUGAAAGGCCAAUCAAACCGGGAGAUAGCUGGUUCUCCCCGAAAGCUAUUUAGGUAGCGCCUCGUGAAUUCAUCUCCGGGGGUAGAGCACUGUUUCGGCUAGGGGGCCAUCCCGGCUUACCAACCCGAUGCAAACUGCGAAUACCGGAGAAUGUUAUCACGGGAGACACACGGCGGGUGCUAACGUCCGUCGUGAAGAGGGAAACAACCCAGACCGCCAGCUAAGGUCCCAAAGUCAUGGUUAAGUGGGAAACGAUGUGGGAAGGCCCAGACAGCCAGGAUGUUGGCUUAGAAGCAGCCAUCAUUUAAAGAAAGCGUAAUAGCUCACUGGUCGAGUCGGCCUGCGCGGAAGAUGUAACGGGGCUAAACCAUGCACCGAAGCUGCGGCAGCGACGCUGAUGCGUUGUUGGGUAGGGGAGCGUUCUGUAAGCCUGCGAAGGUGACCUGUGAGGGUUGCUGGAGGUAUCAGAAGUGCGAAUGCUGACAUAAGUAACGAUAAAGCGGGUGAAAAGCCCGCUCGCCGGAAGACCAAGGGUUCCUGUCCAACGUUAAUCGGGGCAGGGUGAGUCGACCCCUAAGGCGAGGCCGAAAGGCGUAGUCGAUGGGAAACGGGUUAAUAUUCCCGUACUUGGUGUUACUGCGAAGGGGGGACGGAGAAGGCUAUGUUGGCCGGGCGACGGUUGUCCCGGUUUAAGCGUGUAGGUGUGUGUUCCAGGUAAAUCCGGUUCACUUUAACACUGAGGCGUGACGACGAGGCACUACGGUGCUGAAGCAACAAAUGCCCUGCUUCCAGGAAAAGCCUCUAAGCAUCAGGUAACACGAAAUCGUACCCCAAACCGACACAGGUGGUCAGGUAGAGAAUACCAAGGCGCUUGAGAGAACUCGGGUGAAGGAACUAGGCAAAAUGGUGCCGUAACUUCGGGAGAAGGCACGCUGACACGUAGGUGAAGUGAUUUACUCAUGGAGCUGAAGUCAGUCGAAGAUACCAGCUGGCUGCAACUGUUUAUUAAAAACACAGCACUGUGCAAACACGAAAGUGGACGUAUACGGUGUGACGCCUGCCCGGUGCCGGAAGGUUAAUUGAUGGGGUCAGCGUAAGCGAAGCUCCUGAUCGAAGCCCCGGUAAACGGCGGCCGUAACUAUAACGGUCCUAAGGUAGCGAAAUUCCUUGUCGGGUAAGUUCCGACCUGCACGAAUGGCGUAAUGAUGGCCAGGCUGUCUCCACCCGAGACUCAGUGAAAUUGAACUCGCUGUGAAGAUGCAGUGUACCCGCGGCAAGACGGAAAGACCCCGUGAACCUUUACUAUAGCUUGACACUGAACAUUGAGCCUUGAUGUGUAGGAUAGGUGGGAGGCUUUGAAGUGUGGACGCCAGUCUGCAUGGAGCCGACCUUGAAAUACCACCCUUUAAUGUUUGAUGUUCUAACGUGGACCCGUAAUCCGGGUUGCGGACAGUGUCUGGUGGGUAGUUUGACUGGGGCGGUCUCCUCCUAAAGAGUAACGGAGGAGCACGAAGGUUGGCUAAUCCUGGUCGGACAUCAGGAGGUUAGUGCAAUGGCAUAAGCCAGCUUGACUGCGAGCGUGACGGCGCGAGCAGGUGCGAAAGCAGGUCAUAGUGAUCCGGUGGUUCUGAAUGGAAGGGCCAUCGCUCAACGGAUAAAAGGUACUCCGGGGAUAACAGGCUGAUACCGCCCAAGAGUUCAUAUCGACGGCGGUGUUUGGCACCUCGAUGUCGGCUCAUCACAUCCUGGGGCUGAAGUAGGUCCCAAGGGUAUGGCUGUUCGCCAUUUAAAGUGGUACGCGAGCUGGGUUUAGAACGUCGUGAGACAGUUCGGUCCCUAUCUGCCGUGGGCGCUGGAGAACUGAGGGGGGCUGCUCCUAGUACGAGAGGACCGGAGUGGACGCAUCACUGGUGUUCGGGUUGUCAUGCCAAUGGCACUGCCCGGUAGCUAAAUGCGGAAGAGAUAAGUGCUGAAAGCAUCUAAGCACGAAACUUGCCCCGAGAUGAGUUCUCCCUGAGACUUUAGGUCUCCUGAAGGAACGUUGAAGACGACGACGUUGAUAGGCCGGGUGUGUAAGCGCAGCGAUGCGUUGAGCUAACCGGUACUAAUGAACCGUGAGGCUUAACCUUACAACGCCGAAG
RNAcentral lists this ribosomal RNA (3029 nucleotides) under Salmonella enterica subsp. enterica serovar Typhimurium. Its description in RNAcentral is "23S ribosomal RNA". It matches the Rfam family "Bacterial large subunit ribosomal RNA". The record is from RNAcentral. Lineage: Bacteria; Pseudomonadati; Pseudomonadota; Gammaproteobacteria; Enterobacterales; Enterobacteriaceae.